GAGAGAGAGAGAGAGAGAGAGAGAGAGAGAGAGAGCUAGCAGAAGAGGUGCAACAAGUUCCUAUUGAAUUAAACAAGUCUUUACUUUGACCAGAUCUUAAAAAGCUUCCACUAAAAAGCCUCUUAUGUGGGGCAUAUGUAAAUACGCAGUGUGCACAAUCGUAAAAAACCACAAGCAACUGACCAGUGAUAACUGUGAAAGAUACCACACAUCAGAAUGUAAUGUAAGAGAUGCUCAGACGUCUUUGAAUUAUUGUAAAAAUGUAUCAGUAUACUGUAAUAAUGUCUUUUUGCUAUUGCUAAUAACACACAGUAUUUCUUUUAUGUAAGUGCUGGGUCUCCAAAGAAAAAUCUAAUGUUUGAAAACACAUACAUGCAGUUGAGGCCUAAUCAUAAUUGCUGCAAGACCUGUGGUAAUCAUGAUGGUAUUAGGAUUUCAUUCUAAUUUGUGUUGUACAGUUAUUUCAUUUUUAACCUUAAUUUAUAUUUAUUCCUUCCUAGUUAAAUUUACCCUUUUUAAUUUUUCAUAUUUAUUUCCUAUCUUAUUCAUAGCCUUUUCCUUUUUUUGUUUUCUUUAGGUCAUGAGCAGUUGUCCAAGCAUUUCACUACAUAUCGUACUGUGUAUGACUGUGUACGUGACAAAUAAAUUUGAAUUUGAAUUUGAGGAUUGUUCCCCAUUUAUGUGUUGUACAGCACGAUCAGGGGAUCUCCCACAUAGUCAAAUCUGUAAACGUGUCUUCAAAUUGAACAAUAGAUUUUUUAAAAAAAAACAACUAAUCGUUUUACUCCAGAUAACUUUGCAUCAUUUAAGUCAUCAGCAUGAUAAGAAACAGGAUGCAAACAACUCUGUGGGGGGGGUGAACGUGAUGAUGGUGGUGCUGGACUUGUCUGAGAAAGAGACUGCUGGGCCAUUGAUCUAACACAACACAUCACUCCAGCUCCAUUUACACAACCAAUCACAUCCCCUGCUGAUUGAUGUGUGGAUAAUUGAGCUGUCACCAGGGUUUCCAUGUUUCUCCUCUAGUUUGCUCCUGACUUUAGGAAUUGUAUUGUAUUUUACUUUAAGUCCAUUUACAACAAAGGACAUCCUGACGUGUACGUAUGUCAAUAUUCUGCCAGAUGCCUGUCAGGGAGACAGAGAGAUGCUAACUCGUGCAUCAAGCAUGAUAGACUACUAGCCUGUCCAGGCUAAUUAACCUCAGGGGCCAGGACUCCGGCAACCCAUCAGGGUCAGUCUGUUUGGCAGCUGCUUCAUCAAUGGAGCCCUACAUGAGAUUGGACUUUUAUUCUUUCACAAUGACAACCAUUUUUACUGUAUGUGUGUACUUUGCUCUAUCUCUAUUCUGUAGUUCAACUUUGGGU
Astatotilapia calliptera (eastern happy) is the source of this 1361-nucleotide long non-coding RNA. The record is from Ensembl. Lineage: Eukaryota; Metazoa; Chordata; Actinopteri; Cichliformes; Cichlidae.